GAUGUUGUGGCUCAGCGGUGGAGUGCUCACCUAGCAUGUGGGAGGCACUGGGUUCGAUCCUCAGCACCACA
RNAcentral lists this transfer RNA (71 nucleotides) under Marmota monax (woodchuck). It matches the Rfam family "tRNA". Rfam says of the family: Transfer RNA (tRNA) molecules are approximately 80 nucleotides in length. The record is from Rfam by way of RNAcentral. Lineage: Eukaryota; Metazoa; Chordata; Mammalia; Rodentia; Sciuridae.